AGAGUUUGAUCCUGGCUCAGGACGAACGCUGGCGGCGUGGAUUAGGCAUGCAAGUCGGACGGGCCGCAAGGCCAGUGGCGGAAGGGUGAGUAAGGCGAAGGUAACCAACCCCAUGGUUGGGCAUAGCCGGGGGAAACCUCGGGUAAUUCCCAGCGACGCGGCUCCUCGGCAUCGAGGGGCCGCCAAAGAUUCAUCGCCGUGGGACGGGCCUUCGUGGUAUUAGCUUGUUGGUGGGGUGACGGCCCACCAAGGCUGCGAUGCCUACCGGGCGUGCGAGCGUGGCCCGGCACACUGGGACUGAGACACUGCCCAGACUCCUACGGGAGGCUGCAGUCGAGAAUCUUCGGCAAUGGGCGCAAGCCUGACCGAGCGACGCCGCGUGGAGGACGAAGGCCUUCGGGUUGUAAACUCCUGUCGAGGGGGAGGAAGGGGCAACCUUGACCGAUCCCUGGAGGAAGCACGGGCUAAGUUCGUGCCAGCAGCCGCGGUAAGACGAACCGUGCGAACGUUAUUCGGAAUCACUGGGCUUAAAGCGCGUGUAGGCGGGCCGCCACGUCGGCUGCUGAAAUCCCCCGGCUCAACCGGGGAACGGGCACCGAUACGAGCGGCCUUGAGGGGGGUAGGGGGGUCUGGAACUUCCGGUGGAGCGGUGAAAUGCGUUGAGAUCGGAAGGAACGCCCGUGGCGAAAGCGAGGCCCUGGACCCUUUCUGACGCUGAGACGCGAAAGCCAGGGGAGCGAACGGGAUUAGAUACCCCGGUAGUCCUGGCCGUAAACGAUGAACACUGGGUAGGGGGCUCGCCGAUGGGCUCCCUGCCGUAGGGAAACCGUGAAGUGUUCCGCCUGGGGAGUAUGGUCGCAAGGCUGAAACUCAAAGGAAUGACGG
RNAcentral lists this ribosomal RNA (885 nucleotides) under uncultured Planctomycetaceae bacterium. Its description in RNAcentral is "bacterial SSU rRNA". It matches the Rfam family "Bacterial small subunit ribosomal RNA", at positions 8 to 916 of the family's 1533-position model. Lineage: Bacteria; Pseudomonadati; Planctomycetota; Planctomycetia; Planctomycetales; Planctomycetaceae. The record is from RNAcentral.